GAGGAAUAAGCAUCGGCUAACUCCGUGCCAGCAGCCGCGGUAAUACGGGGGAUGCAAGCGUUAUCCGGAAUCAUUGGGCGUAAAGCGCCUGUAGGUUGUUUAAUAAGUCUGUUGUUAAAGACUAGGGCUUAACCCUAGAAAAGCAAUGGAAACUACUAGACUAGAGUAUGGCAGGGGUAGAGGGAAUUUCUAGUGUAGCGGUGAAAUGCGUAGAUAUUAGAAAGAACACCGGUGGCGAAAGCGCUCUACUGGACCAUUACUGACACUCAGAGGCGAAAGCUAGGGUAGCAAAAGGGAUUAGAUACCCCUGUAGUCCUAGCCGUAAACGAUGGAUACUACAUGUUGUGCAUUAUGUACAGUAUGGUAGCUAACGCGUUAAGUAUCCCGCCUGGGGAGUACGCUCGCCAGGGUGAAACUCAAAGGAAUUGACGGGGGCCCGCACAAGCGGUGGAGCAUGUGGUUUAAUUCGAUGCAACGCGAAGAACCUUACCAGGACUUGACAUACUACAAAUUCUUUUGAGAAAAAGAAGUGCCUUCGGGAAUGUAGAUACAGGUGGUGCAUGGCUGUCGUCAGCUCGUGUCGUGAGAUGUUGGGUUAAGUCCCGCAACGAGCGCAACCCUUAUUUUUAGUUACCAAUUCGUUGGGUUCUCUAGAAAGACUGCCGGUGACAAACCGGAGGAAGGUGAGGAUGACGUCAAGUCAGCAUGCCCCUUAUGUCCUGGGCUACACACGUGCUACAAUGGUUAAGACAAAGAGUCGCGAGCUCGUGAGAGUCAGCUAAUCUCAUAAACUUAGCCCAAGUUCAGAUUGUAGGCUGCAACUCGCCUACAUGA
Molecule: ribosomal RNA, 834 nt
Filed under: uncultured marine bacterium
Lineage: Bacteria
Description: bacterial SSU rRNA
Rfam family: Bacterial small subunit ribosomal RNA
Source: RNAcentral